UACGUAGGGUGCAAGCGUUGUCCGGAAUUAUUGGGCGUAAAGAGCUCGUAGGCGGUCUGUCGCGUCGGCUGUGAAAUCCCGAGGCUCAACCUCGGGUCUGCAGUCGAUACGGGCAAACUAGAGUAUUGCAGGGGAGACUGGAAUUCCUGGUGUAGCGGUGAAAUGCGCAGAUAUCAGGAGGAACACCGGUGGCGAAGGCGGGUCUCUGGGCCGAAACUGACGCUGAGGAGCGAAAGCGUGGGGAGCGAACAGG
Molecule: ribosomal RNA, 253 nt
Filed under: uncultured bacterium
Lineage: Bacteria
Description: partial 16S ribosomal RNA
Rfam family: Bacterial small subunit ribosomal RNA
Source: RNAcentral